GACGAACGCUGGCGGCGUGCUUAACACAUGCAAGUCGAACGGAAAGGCCCUGCUUUUGUGGGGUGCUCGAGUGGCGAACGGGUGAGUAACACGUGAGUAACCUGCCCUUGACUUUGGGAUAACUUCAGGAAACUGGGGCUAAUACCGGAUAGGAGCUCCUGCUGCAUGGUGGGGGUUGGAAAGUUUCGGCGGUUGGGGAUGGACUCGCGGCUUAUCAGCCUGUUGGUGGGGUAGUGGCUUACCAGGGCUUUGACGGGUAGCCGGCCUGAGAGGGUGACCGGCCACAAUGGGACUGAGAUACGGCGCAGACUCCUACGGGAGGCAGCAGUGGGGAAUAUUGCACAACGGGCGGAAGCCUGAGGCAGCAACGCCGCGUGCGGGAUGACGGCCUUCGGGUUGUAAACCGCUGUCGCCUGUGACGAAGCGUGAGUGACGGUAAUGGGUAAAGAAGCACCGGCUAACUACGUG
This 468-nucleotide ribosomal RNA is filed under the name uncultured bacterium. RNAcentral's name for it is "partial 16S ribosomal RNA". It matches the Rfam family "Bacterial small subunit ribosomal RNA", at positions 28 to 507 of the family's 1533-position model. The record is from RNAcentral.